GCCUCAUCACCUCAGUACAAAAAGAUCACUCAAGUGCCAAAAGAAAUUCUAAAACUCUAGUUUUUCUUUGGGGGUAAAAAAAGAAGAACUAAAAUUGGAGAAACUACAAGAGCAAAAUGUUUAACAACAAUUUAUGCCCAUGUUAGAGAACUGACUAGACAAGGCAGAUCCUCCACCACCACUGCUCAAAUCCCUUCUCUUGGGCUUAACCAUUGGAGGUGACCAGAUGCUAAAACCAUGGUGAGAGCCACUUUUAGCGUCCUUAUUUUCUCUAUAGCCAAUAUUGUUUUUACUAUUGGCAGUGACUUUGAGCCAUUUGGAUUGCAUGUAAGUGGUGGUCCUCCAUGGAGGCACAUAAAGACCUCUUUCUCUCAGAGACUGUUUGGCAGCUGAGCAAAGUAAAGAGAUGAUGUUGUUGAGCUUCUCUUCACUGCCUACAAAAAUUGUUGGAAGUGUGUCUGUGAGUUCUUUGUAGGAUGGUGUUGGUCUUGCUAGUUCAAAUUGAGACCUGAACUCUAUGUCCACUAUUAGCCUACUACUCUUUGUCUUCCCAUUCUCUUCUUUCAACACAAUGAUCUCAAUGUACUCAUAAUCACCAGCAGGGCAUCCUAAGGAAGUGACCCAAGAAGUUUGACAAAUAGAAGCAUUAAAGCCAUCAAUUUUCAAGUUCAUGACAAGCCACUUCUUGAAGCUACUUGUUUUUUCAGCUUCUUUAUUGCUUCUCAUAUGCUUCAACACACUGUCAAGAACCUUAGCUUCAGCUUCUGUCAUUUUUCCAAGUAUUUCCUGCAAAGCAAAGUAUUUAGCUUGAUGGUCCAUAGCAAGGCAGUUUGAUGAAGCAGGAAAAAUAGGUGGUGAUGAUUCUUGUUCUAUGAAGUCAUGCACCAUUUGAACAAGCCUUUCCUCCUCUAAGCUCCCCAUAUAUAUAUAUGUAUAAAUAUGUAUGCAUAUACCCCCUUUCUGGAGGAAAAUAAAAGCUUGAUGGAGGUUUUGGAGUUGGGAUUUUCUUGAAGGGUCUUGC
This 1021-nucleotide unclassified non-coding RNA is filed under the name Hevea brasiliensis (rubber tree). The record is from RNAcentral. Lineage: Eukaryota; Viridiplantae; Streptophyta; Magnoliopsida; Malpighiales; Euphorbiaceae.